This 491-nucleotide ribosomal RNA is filed under the name uncultured bacterium. RNAcentral's name for it is "partial 16S ribosomal RNA". It matches the Rfam family "Bacterial small subunit ribosomal RNA", at positions 29 to 507 of the family's 1533-position model. The record is from RNAcentral.
AGUGAACGCUGGCGGUAGGCCUAACACAUGCAAGUCGAACGGCAGCACAGUAAGAGCUUGCUCUUACGGGUGGCGAGUGGCGGACGGGUGAGGAAUACAUCGGAAUCUACUUUUUCGUGGGGGAUAACGUAGGGAAACUUACGCUAAUACCGCAUACGACCUACGGGUGAAAGCAGGGGAUCUUCGGACCUUGCGCGAUUGAAUGAGCCGAUGUCGGAUUAGCUAGUUGGCGGGGUAAAGGCCCACCAAGGCGACGAUCCGUAGCUGGUCUGAGAGGAUGAUCACCACACUGGAACUGAGACACGGUCCAGACUCCUACGGGAGGCAGCAGUGGGGAAUAUUGGACAAUGGGCGCAAGCCUGAUCCAGCCAUACCGCGUGGGUGAAGAAGGCCUUCGGGUUGUAAAGCCCUUUUGUUGGGAAAGAAAAGCAGCAGGUUAAUACCCCGCUGUUCUGACGGUACCCAAAGAAUAAGCACCGGCUAACUUCGUG